CAAUAGCGUAUAUUAAAGUUGUUGCAGUUAAAAAGCUCGUAGUUGGAUUUGUGGCUGUCACGGGCGGCCUAUCACUUAGUGUUAGUGCUUGCCUGUGUCGCCAUCCUUGGGUGGAGCCCGUGUGGCAUUAGGUUGUCGUGCGGGGAAUGCCCAUCGUUUACUGUGAGAAAAUUAGAGUGUUCAAAGCAGGCUUAUGCCGUUGAAUAUGUUAGCAUGGAAUAAUAAGAUAGGACCUCGGUACUAUUUUGUUGGUUUGCGCACCGAGGUAAUGAUUAAUAGGGACAGUUGGGGGUAUUCGUAUUUCAUUGUCAGAGGUGAAAUUCUUGGAUUUCUGAAAGACGAACUACUGCGAAAGCAUUUACCAAGGAUGUUUUCAUUAA
Molecule: ribosomal RNA, 380 nt
Filed under: uncultured eukaryote
Lineage: Eukaryota
Description: partial 18S ribosomal RNA
Rfam family: Eukaryotic small subunit ribosomal RNA
Source: RNAcentral